RNAcentral lists this ribosomal RNA (492 nucleotides) under uncultured bacterium. RNAcentral describes it as "partial 16S ribosomal RNA". It matches the Rfam family "Bacterial small subunit ribosomal RNA", at positions 29 to 507 of the family's 1533-position model. The record is from RNAcentral.
AGUGAACGCUGGCGGUAGGCCUAACACAUGCAAGUCGAACGGCAGCACAGUAAGAGCUUGCUCUUCCGGGUGGCGAGUGGCGGACGGGUGAGGAAUACAUCGGACUCUACUUUUUCGUGGGGGAUAACGUAGGGAAACUUACGCUAAUACCGCAUACGACCUACGGGUGAAAGCAGGGGAUCUUCGGACCUUGCGCGAUUGAAUGAGCCGAUGUCGGAUUAGCUAGUUGGCGGGGUAAAGGCCCACCAAGGCGACGAUCCGUAGCUGGUCUGAGAGGCUGAACAGCGACACUGGGACUGAGACACGGUCCAGACUCCUACGGGAGGCAGCGGUGGGGAAUAUUGGACGAUGGGCGCAAGCCUGAUCCAGCCGUACCGCGUGGGUGAAGAAGGCCUUCGUGUUGUAAAGCCCUUUUGUUGGGAAAGAAAAGCAGCAGGUUAAUACCCCGCUGUUCUGACGGUACCCAAAGAAGAAGCACCGGCUAACUUCGUG